UUGAAAUCCUUAGGAUGUUGCUGGCCUUUCGGGGCAUGUGCACUCCGCCUUUUCAAUUCACCUGUGAACUCAUUGUAGGCCGGACUUUAAGUCUGUGUCUAUGUUUUUAUACAUACACCCUAUUAAAAAGUUUAACAGAAUGUCAUAUCAGACCUUUAUCGGUCGAAAUAAAUCAAUA
Molecule: unclassified non-coding RNA, 178 nt
Filed under: uncultured Agaricales
Lineage: Eukaryota; Fungi; Basidiomycota; Agaricomycetes; Agaricales
Description: sequence contains ITS1
Source: RNAcentral